RNAcentral lists this ribosomal RNA (300 nucleotides) under uncultured Asticcacaulis sp. RNAcentral's name for it is "bacterial SSU rRNA". It matches the Rfam family "Bacterial small subunit ribosomal RNA", at positions 496 to 795 of the family's 1533-position model. The record is from RNAcentral. Lineage: Bacteria; Pseudomonadati; Pseudomonadota; Alphaproteobacteria; Caulobacterales; Caulobacteraceae.
GCUAACUCCGUGCCAGCAGCCGCGGUAAUACGGAGGGAGCUAGCGUUGUUCGGAAUUACUGGGCGUAAAGCGCACGUAGGCGGCUUUGUAAGUCAGAGGUGAAAGCCUGGAGCUCAACUCCAGAACUGCCUUUGAGACUGCAUCGCUUGAAUCCAGGAGAGGUGAGUGGAAUUCCGAGUGUAGAGGUGAAAUUCGUAGAUAUUCGGAAGAACACCAGUGGCGAAGGCGGCUCACUGGACUGGUAUUGACGCUGAGGUGCGAAAGCGUGGGGAGCAAACAGGAUUAGAUACCCCAGUAGUC